AGAGCGAACGCUGGCGGCAGGCUUAACACAUGCAAGUCGAACGGAUCCUUCGGGAUUAGUGGCGGACGGGUGAGUAACACGUGGGAACGUGCCUUUAGGUUCGGAACAACACAGGGAAACUUGUGCUAAUACCGGAUGUGCCCUUCGGGGGAAAGAUUUAUCGCCUUUAGAGCGGCCCGCGUCUGAUUAGCUUGUUGGUGAGGUAAAGGCUCACCAAGGCUACGAUCAGUAGCUGGUCUGAGAGGAUGGCCAGCCACAUUGGGACUGAGACACGGCCCAAACUCCUACGGGAGGCAGCAGUGGGGAAUCUUGCGCAAUGGGGAAACCCUGACGCAGCCAUGCCGCGUGGAUGAUGAAGGUCUUAGGGAUUGUAAAAUCCUUUCGAGUCGGGGACGAUAAUGACGGUACCCGCAGAAGAACGCCCCGGCUAACUUCGCGCCAGCAGCCGC
RNAcentral lists this ribosomal RNA (449 nucleotides) under uncultured bacterium. Its description in RNAcentral is "SSU rRNA". It matches the Rfam family "Bacterial small subunit ribosomal RNA", at positions 26 to 518 of the family's 1533-position model. The record is from RNAcentral.